This 301-nucleotide ribosomal RNA is filed under the name uncultured bacterium. RNAcentral's name for it is "partial 16S ribosomal RNA". It matches the Rfam family "Bacterial small subunit ribosomal RNA", at positions 509 to 807 of the family's 1533-position model. The record is from RNAcentral.
CAGCCGCCGCGGUAAUACGGAGGGUGCGAGCGUUAAUCGGAAUUACUGGGCGUAAAGGGUGCGUAGGUGGUUAAUUAAGAUAUCUGUGAAAUUCCUGGGCUUAACCUGGGCGUGUCAGAUGAUACUGAUUGACUCGAGUAUGGGAGAGGGUAGUGGAAUUUCCGGUGUAGCGGUGAAAUGCGUAGAGAUCGGAAGGAACACCAGUGGCGAAGGCGGCUACCUGGCCUAAUACUGACACUGAGGCACGAAAGCGUGGGGAGCAAACAGGAUUAGAUACCCCCGUAGUCCCUGUCUCUUAUAC